UGCUGGUUAGUUGAAGCAUCAGAUGGGUGCGACCAGAAGGUACAUAGAAUCACAGAAUGGUUUGGGUUGGAAGGGAUCUUAAUGAUCUCAUUCUAAACCCCUGCCACAGGCAAGUACAACACACUUUGCAAGGAAGAGACUUCUUGGCUGCAGUGCAGCUGUUUGAGGAUGGUGCAGGGAGUGGGAGGGCUUCUGACCCUUAUCCCUGGGGAUAUAAGAAGCAGAAAUGGCAUUCAGGAUGGUAGGGUGGGAGCUUGCUUGGCAGGGGGGCUCCUGGCGCCUGCACAUUCAAUCCUGAUUAGUUUCGGGAUGGGAUGCUAAGCAAACCUAAUAUGGGGGAUGGCAAAUCCUAUACCCUUUGCCAAAGCAGGCAAGGCAAAUGAAGCUGUCAUGCUUUGCAUUUUCUCCUUUCUCCUCCAAGAGGUAGAUGUGCCUUUAGGGGAGCUGUCUUUCCUCUGCAGUGGUUUCAGCUGCUGUUGUUAGACUUACAGCUGAUGCCCCUUGGCCAAUCAUGCAUUGCUGAUCACUAUUCAAGGUAAGAGACAAAGGAGAGAGCUUAGCAGUCAAGAGGAUACUGAUGAGAGGGGAAAUUGCUUAUUUGAAAGGCUUUUUAAGCACUCUUUCUUGACAACAGAGUUUAUCACUCUCCUUUUAUCCCUCUGUAUAGAGUCAGACACUGUCCAUUAUGAAGAGCUCUUGAGAAACCCCACUCUCCUCUUUGUUAAUCUCUCUUCUAGCUUGUGUAUGCCAACGACAGGGGACUGAGGCAUCUGCAUGCUCGGGUGCUGUGUUUGCGGAGUGCUUGUGAUGCUUCAGUGUGUGCCCCUUGACACAUCACCAAGGCAUCUGAAGAGGCAAGAUCAGCAGAGUAUAUCAGCACAGCUGCUCGGAAGGCAUCAGGGUGGAUAUCGGCAGGGAUGUCAAACUGAGCAGCUGGGGGUGAAGACACUUCUCUUGCAUGAGCCCAGCCUGCUCCUGCCUGAAGUACACCCCAUAGAGACAGCUUUGGUGGUUGGGACUGGCCUGAAGAGCAUGAGGUAGGACAGUGUUCCUUCUUCUGCACUGCAAAUACUCCUCCUCGCUUCUUUGUGUUGCAGCCCCUUCAGCAAAGACUUGGGCACAGAACCCAGAAUCCUUGUGUUUGAGACUAUCCCUUUUGGGAAUGACAUAAGCAAAAUUCCUCAUCUCACCCUUAGGAAGCAGCUGGUGUGGACUGUGCUGAGCAAAACAACACCGCAUAACCAGCGAGCACUGCUGAGCACGAUUCACAGCCAAUGCUUUUACAACCUGCUUCUUGUUUUGGAACAGCACCUAAUUGGUUUUGAAGCACUGCAAAACUAGGUCAAUUUGCCAGUGGGCUUUGUAAGAGUCUUUAGCUAAAUCUCUAGACUUUAGCUAGAUGUUAAUUUGAGCCAGACUUAGGAAAAAUAUAUAUUAAUAUACCCACAGUCUCACGUGAGAAACUUGUAGGCAACGAUUUGGGAUUCAGAGCCAUCCUCCUAUUCCUAAGACUAAAUUCAAAGCCACUGUUUAAAAGCAAGCUUGCACAUGCGGAUGUCCUGAUCUUUAAUUAGGCAAAACUCCCACUGACAUCAAUAGGAGGUUGACUUGAAUAAGAACUGCAGGAUCAGGUCCAUAAUUUGAUACCUGGGAUUUGAUUAAGCAGCUAAAUUACUAGAACACUUUCCCCAGGAGUAUAAUUGCCUAAUUAAUUUUGAAAAUAGCUAAGUUCAGCACUGACUAUGGUGCACCUCUUGCCACAUGAAAUGGAUGCUGUUUAAGCCAAGUUGAUGGAGCUAUUUGCAAGGGCCCACAGAGUUUAUUUUGCAGUUAAGUAGUUCUGUUUAUUUAAAGUUCAAAAUUAGCCCCCAUUGUGUUAAAAACGUGGUGUUUCAGAAAAUAUACUCUUGUGAUAGACUUCCCUUGUAGUCUGGUUUGGCUGUUAGCAUUGCAAAUGUAUUUUAAAGAGUAGUGCUCUACUGCGUCCUAAUUCUUGA
Long non-coding RNA from Neopsephotus bourkii (Bourke's parrot), 1997 nucleotides. RefSeq lists it as uncharacterized. NCBI's taxonomy places the organism in Eukaryota, Metazoa, Chordata, Aves, Psittaciformes, Psittacidae. The record is from RefSeq and is a predicted model, not a curated record. The transcript has 2 exons.